RNAcentral lists this ribosomal RNA (444 nucleotides) under uncultured Desulfovibrio sp. RNAcentral's name for it is "bacterial SSU rRNA". It matches the Rfam family "Bacterial small subunit ribosomal RNA", at positions 940 to 1382 of the family's 1533-position model. The record is from RNAcentral. Lineage: Bacteria; Pseudomonadati; Thermodesulfobacteriota; Desulfovibrionia; Desulfovibrionales; Desulfovibrionaceae.
UGUGGUUUAAUUCGAUGCAACGCGAAGAACCUUACCUACGGUUUGACAUCCGGAAAACCUUCCCGAAAAGGAAGGGUGCCCUUCGGGGAAUUCCGAGACAGGUGUUGCAUGGCUGUCGUCAGCUCGUGCCGUGAGGUGUGGGUUAAGUCCCGCAACGAGCGCAACCCUAUUGCCAGUUGCUACCAGGUAAUGCUGGGCACUCUGGUGAGACUGCCCCGGUUAACGGGGAGGAAGGUGGGGACGACGUCAAGUCAUCAUGGCCCUUACGCCUAGGGCUACACACGUACUACAAUGGCGCAUACAAAGGGCAGCGAUACCGCGAGGUGGAGCCAAUCCCAAAAAGUGCGUCCCAGUCCGGAUUGCAGUCUGCAACUCGACUGCAUGAAGUUGGAAUCGCUAGUAAUUCGAGAUCAGCAUGCUCGGGUGAAUGCGUUCCCGGGCCUU